UAGGGAAUCUUCGGCAAUGGACGAAAGUCUGACCGAGCAACGCCGCGUGAGUGAAGAAGGUUUUCGGAUCGUAAAACUCUGUUGUUAGAGAAGAACAAGGACGUUAGUAACUGAACGUCCCCUGACGGUAUCUAACCAGAAAGCCACGGCUAACUACGUGCCAGCAGCCGCGGUAAUACGUAGGUGGCAAGCGUUGUCCGGAUUUAUUGGGCGUAAAGCGAGCGCAGGCGGUUUCUUAAGUCUGAUGUGAAAGCCCCCGGCUCAACCGGGGAGGGUCAUUGGAAACUGGGGGACUUGAGUGCAGAAGAGGAGAGUGGAAUUCCAUGUGUAGCGGUGAAAUGCGUAGAUAUAUGGAGGAAGACCAGUGGCGAAGGCGGCUCUCUGGUCUGUAACUGACGCUGAGGCUCGAAAGCGUGGGGAGCAAACAGG
This 429-nucleotide ribosomal RNA is filed under the name Chloroflexota bacterium. RNAcentral describes it as "Chloroflexi bacterium partial 16S ribosomal RNA". It matches the Rfam family "Bacterial small subunit ribosomal RNA", at positions 355 to 776 of the family's 1533-position model. The record is from RNAcentral. Lineage: Bacteria; Bacillati; Chloroflexota. RNAcentral also lists the same sequence under 1 other name.